RNAcentral lists this ribosomal RNA (225 nucleotides) under uncultured bacterium. RNAcentral describes it as "partial 16S ribosomal RNA". It matches the Rfam family "Bacterial small subunit ribosomal RNA", at positions 108 to 334 of the family's 1533-position model. The record is from RNAcentral.
CGGUAACACGUAUGUAACCUACCUUUACCAGGGGAUAGCCUCUCGAAAGAGAGAUUAAGCCCGCAUAAUAUGAAGGCACAGCAUUGUGCUUUCAUCAAAUAUUUAUAGGGUAAAGAUGGGCAUGCGGAACAUUAGCUAGUUGGUAAGGUAAUGGCUUACCAAGGCUACGAUGUUUAGGGGAUCUGAGAGGAUGACCCCCCACACUGGUACUGAGACACGGACUAG